UACGUAGGGGGCAAGCGUUGUCCGGACUUACUGGGCGUAAAGCGCGUGCAGGCGGAUGAGUAUGUGCCGUGUGAAAGCUCUCGGCUUGCCCGGGAGAGGUCGCGGUAGACAGCCCAUCUGGAGGCUCGGAGAGGUCAGUGGAAUUCCCGGUGUAGUGGUGAAAUGCGUAGAUAUCCGGAGGAACACCAGCGGCGAAGGCGGCAUCCUGGACUGGUACUGACGCUCAGGAGCGAAAGCGUGGGGAGCGAUCCGG
This 253-nucleotide ribosomal RNA is filed under the name uncultured bacterium. RNAcentral's name for it is "partial 16S ribosomal RNA". It matches the Rfam family "Bacterial small subunit ribosomal RNA", at positions 524 to 776 of the family's 1533-position model. The record is from RNAcentral.